GGGAGCGUUUGAGUCCCGGUGGGCUUCGCGGACUUCAACUCCGUCGUGAGGCAUCAGAAAUGUCUCUGGUGGGUUCGACUCCCAUACGCUCCCGCCA
This 97-nucleotide transfer RNA is filed under the name Dehalococcoidia bacterium. RNAcentral describes it as "tRNA-Sec". It matches the Rfam family "Selenocysteine transfer RNA". RNAcentral also lists the same sequence under 1 other name. The record is from RNAcentral. Lineage: Bacteria; Bacillati; Chloroflexota; Dehalococcoidia.